GAUCAUGGCUCAGAUUGAACGCUGGCGGCAGGCCUAAUACAUGCAAGUCGAACGGUAACAUAGGAAAAGCUUGCUUUCCUGAUGACGAGUGGCGGACGGGUGAGUAAAGUUGGGAAGCUACCUGAUAGAGGGGGACAACAGUUGGAAACGACUGCUAAUACCGCAUACAGCCUGAGGGUGAAAGCAGCGAUGCGCUAUCAGAUGCGCCCAAAUGGGAUUAGCUAGUAGGUGAGGUAAAGGCUCACCUAGGCGACGAUCUCUAGCUGGUCUGAGAGGAUGAUCAGCCACAUUGGGACUGAGACACGGCCCAGACUCCUACGGGAGGCAGCAGUAGGGAAUAUUGCACAAUGGAGGAAACUCUGAUGCAGCCAUGCCGCGUGUGUGAAGAAGGCCUUCGGGUUGUAAAGCACUUUCGGAGGGGAGGAGAAUGACGUUACCCUCAGAAGAAGCACCGGCUAACUCCGUGCCAGCCGCCGC
This 477-nucleotide ribosomal RNA is filed under the name uncultured bacterium. RNAcentral describes it as "bacterial SSU rRNA". It matches the Rfam family "Bacterial small subunit ribosomal RNA", at positions 15 to 518 of the family's 1533-position model. The record is from RNAcentral.